RNAcentral lists this ribosomal RNA (253 nucleotides) under uncultured bacterium. Its description in RNAcentral is "partial 16S ribosomal RNA". It matches the Rfam family "Bacterial small subunit ribosomal RNA", at positions 524 to 776 of the family's 1533-position model. The record is from RNAcentral.
UACGAAGGUCCCUAGCGUUGUUCGGAAUCAUUGGGCGUAAAGCGCACGUAGGUGGCUUUGCAAGUCAGGUGUGAAAGCCUGGGGCUUAACCCCAGAAGUGCACUUGAAACUGCUUAGCUUGAGUACGGGAGAGGUGAGUGGAAUUCCUGGUGUAGUGGUGAAAUACGUAGAUAUCAGGAGGAACAUCGGUGGCGAAGGCGGCUCACUGGCCCAGUACUGACACUGAGGUGCGAAAUUAUGGGGAUCAAACAGG